This 352-nucleotide RNase P RNA is filed under the name Oscillospiraceae bacterium. Its description in RNAcentral is "RNase P RNA component class A". It matches the Rfam family "Bacterial RNase P class A". From Rfam's summary of the family: Ribonuclease P (RNase P) is a ubiquitous endoribonuclease, found in archaea, bacteria and eukarya as well as chloroplasts and mitochondria. Its best characterised activity is the generation of mature 5'-ends of tRNAs by cleaving the 5'-leader elements of precursor-tRNAs. Cellular RNase Ps are ribonucleoproteins. The record is from RNAcentral. Lineage: Bacteria; Bacillati; Bacillota; Clostridia; Eubacteriales; Oscillospiraceae.
CGAUCGAAACGGACAGCCGCGCGCUUGCAUCGAAAGGUGCUUGUGUGAGGAAAGUCCGGGCUCCAUAGGGCAAGAAUAACGGGUAACGCCCGCCGAAGGCGACUUCAGGAAAAGUGCAACAGAGAUAUACCGCCUCAUCGUUUCGAUGAGGUAAGGGUGGAAAGGCGAGGUAAGAGCUCACCCACCGCGUGGGAACACAGCGGUGCUGUAAACUCUAUUCGGAGCAACACCGUGGAGGAGGCAUAUGGUCUGCCCGACCGCUUCCGAGGAGGUGGCUAGAGCGUAUCGGCAACGGUACGUCGAGAUAGAUGGCUGUCGAUUACAGAACCCGGCUUAUAGUUCCGAUCGCAAG